Molecule: non-coding RNA, 214 nt
Organism: Pelobates cultripes (western spadefoot toad)
Lineage: Eukaryota; Metazoa; Chordata; Amphibia; Anura; Pelobatidae
Source: the annotation of a GenBank genome assembly
GGGAAAUCGAGGUUAUGUCUUUUCUCGUACAUGUUCCCGGGGACAAAAGGUUGUAAUGGUCCUGUAGCGGCAUGCUAGUUCAAGCAGGGACUCUCUGUAGCGGAGAUGCAAUAUUCCCCAGGUUAUCUCCGCUUAUAAUCCAAGUGAGGCUCAGGAACAAGUAAACUGUAAAUCCACAGGCAAGGUUUCCAGCAGGUAAAAUAACAGCAAUAUC